This 26-nucleotide non-coding RNA is filed under the name Cricetulus griseus (Chinese hamster). The record is from RNAcentral. Lineage: Eukaryota; Metazoa; Chordata; Mammalia; Rodentia; Cricetidae.
GGAUGCUCUGUGUACGAAGAUUGUUU